AGAGUUUGAUCUGGCUCAGGACGAACGCUGGCGGCGUGCCUAACACAUGCAAGUCGAACGAAGCACUGCGGAUAGAGACUUCGGUCAAUUGAAGCUUUGACUUAGUGGCGGACGGGUGAGUAACGCGUGAGGAACCUGCCUUUCAGUGGGGGACAACAGUUGGAAACGACUGCUAAUACCGCAUAAUGUGUUUUGGGGGCAUCCCCAGAACACCAAAGAUUUAUUGCUGAAAGAUGGCCUCGCGUCUGAUUAGAUAGUUGGUGGGGUAACGGCCUACCAAGUCGACGAUCAGUAGCCGGACUGAGAGGUUGAACGGCCACAUUGGGACUGAGAUACGGCCCAGACUCCUACGGGAGGCAGCAGUGGGGGAUAUUGCACAAUGGGGGAAACCCUGAUGCAGCAACGCCGCGUGAGGGAAGAAGGUCUUCGGAUUGUAAACCUUUGUUUUUAGUGACGAAAAAAUGACGGUAGCUAAAGAGGAAGCCACGGCUAACUACGUGCCAGCAGCCGCGGUAAUACGUAGGUGGCAAGCGUUGUCCGGAAUUACUGGGUGUAAAGGGCGUGCAGCCGGGCCGACAAGUCAGAUGUGAAAUCCCGAGGCUUAACCUCGGAACUGCAUUUGAAACUGUUGGUCUUGAGUAUCGGAGAGGUCAUCGGAAUUCCUUGUGUAGCGGUGAAAUGCGUAGAUAUAAGGAAGAACACCAGUGGCGAAGGCGGAUGACUGGACGACAACUGACGGUGAGGCGCGAAAGCGUGGGGAGCGAACAGGAUUAGAUACCCUGGUAGUCCACGCUGUAAACGAUGGAUACUAGGUGUGCGGGGACUGACCCCCUGCGUGCCGCAGUUAACACAAUAAGUAUCCCACCUGGGGAGUACGAUCGCAAGGUUGAAACUCAAAGGAAUUGACGGGGGCCCGCACAAGCGGUGGAUUAUGUGGUUUAAUUCGACGCAACGCGAAGAACCUUACCAAGUCUUGACAUCCCUCUGACCGGAACUUAAUCGUUCCUUUCCUUCGGGACAGAGGAGACAGGUGGUGCAUGGUUGUCGUCAGCUCGUGUCGUGAGAUGUUGGGUUAAGUCCCGCAACGAGCGCAACCCCUAUCCCCAGUAGCCAGCGGUCAGGCCGGGCACUCUGGGGAGACUGCCAGGGAUAACCUGGAGGAAGGUGGGGAUGACGUCAAAUCAUCAUGCCCCUUAUGAUUUGGGCUACACACGUGCUACAAUGGCGUAAACAAAGGGAAGCGAGACUGUGAAGUUAAGCAAAUCUCAGAAAUAACGUCUCAGUUCGGAUUGUAGUCUGCAACUCGACUACAUGAAGCUGGAAUCGCUAGUAAUCGCAGAUCAGAAUGCCGCGGUGAAUACGUUCCCGGGUCUUGCACUCACCGCCCGUCA
RNAcentral lists this ribosomal RNA (1391 nucleotides) under uncultured bacterium. RNAcentral describes it as "bacterial SSU rRNA". It matches the Rfam family "Bacterial small subunit ribosomal RNA". The record is from RNAcentral.